This 562-nucleotide long non-coding RNA is filed under the name Homo sapiens (human). Its description in RNAcentral is "non-protein coding FTX:38". Lineage: Eukaryota; Metazoa; Chordata; Mammalia; Primates; Hominidae. The record is from RNAcentral.
GAAUGGCGUCGGGGUUGGAGGGUUGGAAGGUCGGGAAGUGAAGGACUCGCAGGCAUAUUUAACAACGCAAAGUUGCUAGGAGUUGGUACCAGCGUUUGGGAGGUAGAGGUGGCGCUCAUGCAUAUUUGAGACAACAUCUGGAUGGUUGGGGAGAACGGUGAUGCCACACUCAAUCAGAAACUAUGCUACUGCUGAAGAGGUAUAUUGAGCCCUGCCUGGUUAACCUCCAGUGAGGUUAUUAGAGAAUUGGGAGAGGCUCAAAUCAGCAUCCUGCACCUAGUUAUCAAACCAUUGUGAAGUCUUGCAAGUUCAUCAGAGGGCGAGGAUGAAUUACGGUUGCCAUGAAUGUCCUUGUGAGGCAGUUGGGAAGCCUUGGCUGGAUUGUGAAGGAUAUUUGAAAAGUAUUUUAGAGUCCACCAGAUCAUCCAUGUGAGUGACCAUGCAGCAAAAGAAGGAGGGUCCUCUCAGUGAUUAAGGUAACAUAGUGAUUAAGGAUUAUGAAGUAUUAAUUCUUCCACUGAUAUCUCAAAAGGUGAUCUGGACAAAGGAACAGGUAUCUCAG